AUAACAGUCCCUUGUAGUCCCAAUGAGUGCCAGAGCAGAGGAGAUGCCAAUGCACCACAGCAAACAUGUAAGGCAAAUAACAAAAAUCCUACUCACCAUAUUUUAUCACUGAGCAGAAAUCCUCUCUCCUAGCCUUGCUACUGAGGCUGGUCUUUAUCCAGAGGCUCCUGUGAUGCUUUUCAGAUUCGGAGGGGCUGGACCACUGCUGCUCUCCACUGUUAUUCUCCACCCCCUGUCUUUCCCUCCUCCUCCUUCCUUCAUCUCCACCCCCUCAUUCCUCCUGCUUGUAGCUUUUUCAUACCCUACAGAGAUUCUAGGCUUCCACAUGUAGCUUGAUUUAGGAAAGAUGCUUAUUUCAGCCAUCUGCUUGGUAUCAUGGAAAUGCCUCCAUUUCUAAAGGGAAGAAAGCCCAGAAGGUUUUCCUAAGGGAAAAAAUACAGGACUAAACUUUCAGAGAAUGUAAACCGACACUGUACUCUCUUAACAUUUAAAGAGUUGCGUUAACCAUCCUCAGCGUUGGAUCUGGUUAGGGAAUACUGACAGAGAACCCAACUGAUUAUUCUGCCUAUGACAAGUCAACAUAAGGCUGUUUGCCCAUUUGUGGAGGUCUCUUCCUUGGACUGGGGCAGAGAAUAGUUCCUGUAUUGGUUCCGCCGGGUCACUACUGUUUGUCCAAAUGUCAACUGCUUCUGCUGGUGCUGCCCACUGUAAAACUGCAGGAUGUUUGUUUGAUACAUGAGUGUCACCUUCCGGCCAGGACCUCCGUAUGGGUAAACUCCUUCUAUCACACACAGCUCUUUCCAGUGCUACUAGUUAUUCUCAAAGCGCAACUCACACACCGUAAUACUACCAGUAAGGAGUAUAAGGACAACUUUUAUCCAGGAUCAGAAGCGACUGUCCUUUUUGCGUACUGUAAUAUACAACUACUCCAAAGCUCUGUCAAUGAGCCUGGUGGAUGCGCAGCAGAGACUGUGUCUAAUCCUGCUGGUGUGCAGGUGCUUACAAAUCCUAACCACGUUUCCUUCCAUACCGCUUCCUGUCUUCUCUUCGUCUCCUGCUUGUACAGCACAGGCAAACGCUUCCCAGUCGUGAGAGAAGAACUGGGCACAUUGUGCAGCCUGGGCCCUGUGGCCACCGCCGCUGUCUCUGUCUGA
RNAcentral lists this long non-coding RNA (1154 nucleotides) under Struthio camelus australis. RNAcentral's name for it is "lncRNA (ENSSCUG00000012287.1)". The record is from RNAcentral. Lineage: Eukaryota; Metazoa; Chordata; Aves; Struthioniformes; Struthionidae.